Molecule: ribosomal RNA, 466 nt
Filed under: uncultured bacterium
Lineage: Bacteria
Description: bacterial SSU rRNA
Rfam family: Bacterial small subunit ribosomal RNA
Source: RNAcentral
UGGAGGAAAGUAGGGGAUCGAAAGACCUUGCGCUUUUGGAGCGGCCGUUAUCUGAUUAGCUAGUUGGUGAGGUAAAGGCUCACCAAGGCGUCGAUCAGUAGUUGGUCUGAGAGGACGACCAGCCACACUGGAACUGAGACACGGUCCAGACUCCUACGGGAGGCAGCAGUGGGGAAUUUUGGACAAUGGGGGAAACCCUGAUCCAGCCAUGCCGCGUGAGUGAAGAAGGCCUUCGGGUUGUAAAGCUCUUUCAGUCGGGAAGAAAAGAUUGCAGAUAAUACCUGUAAUUCAUGACGGUACCGAAAUAAGAAGCACCGGCUAACUACGUGCCAGCAGCCGCGGUAAUACGUAGGGUGCGAGCGUUAAUCGGAAUUACUGGGCGUAAAGGGUGCGCAGGCGGUUUUGUAAGUCAGAUGUGAAAUCCCCGGGCUUAACCUGGGAACUGCGUUUGAAACUACAAAGCUAG